Canis lupus familiaris (dog) is the source of this 1805-nucleotide long non-coding RNA. RefSeq lists it as uncharacterized. The record is from RefSeq and is a predicted model, not a curated record. The transcript is spliced from 3 exons. NCBI's taxonomy places the organism in Eukaryota, Metazoa, Chordata, Mammalia, Carnivora, Canidae.
AACAGAAUGGAGCGGGAAGGGAAAGAGGAACAUUUGUGAAGUGCCUGCAAUGAGCCAGCACGAUGAAUAGGGAAAAAUUCAUCUGAGCCUUCCUUUACAAAUCACCAAGAGAAAAAGACACUGUGCGCUGCUAAACAAAGUGCAGAACAUGCCUGCAUUGCUGCUUAAUCUAGGUCAGUCAUAGCUGCAGAGGCAGCUGAGCUCACGUGGGGCUCACUCUGGUCAUCCCUCCUUACCAGCGCACAGGUCAUCCAGCCCCUGGAGGGUACCAUGCGGCCGCCGCGGAGCCACCACCGUGCAGGAGCCCUGCCUCCAACAGGCAUCACCUGUUCACAUCAGGAAUGCGCAUGUCAGACACAUGAGAAAAAAUUACUAGCUGAUUUGUAAAACACAAACUCUCUGUCCCAGAUAAGCUAGAGGACAGCCAACACAUUUCAGAAAUGUCAGGCACGGUGCUCUCGCUAAAAUAGUCUUCUUUCACUUUUAUUCACCCUACGCUCGCCUUAUCAGAAAAUGCUGAAAAUGGGGCUGUAUUUGGGCAGAGUUACCUUGGAACUUUCAUCUUAAUUACAGACACUCUUAGUAACUGUUGCUUAGUAACAAACACAUUUGAAACAGACUUGUUGACUUAUUAUGAGAAACUCUGAAAAGACCUUCUUAGUGUGAUGGAAAAACAGCAAUGGCCUGGGAAAGUAAAAAAAAAAAAAAAAAAACUCUUUAACUGAGAAAGUGCUAGCAAACUUAAGGUAUUCCCUGCUUCCAAAGAUGCUACUGAAUGUCUGAGACCCACGUGAGGUGCAGCUGAUUACCAAAGCUCUGUGAGACAGGCCUUGGACUUCUAGUCAAAGCAGGAUCCCACACAGGACAGCAAAGGCUGUGCAUUUCCACAGGUCUGAAAUAUCCUCCAUGGCAUAGUUUUGAGACUGCUUCUAUUCAAGAUUUCAGGAGGCGUCUAAGGCUUCUGGUGCCUUGAUUGUACAAGAAAAUUAAUGGGAAGUGGAACCAGGCCAACCUCUCACUGCAGAACAAGGUUCUGUUGUCAAAACUCAUUCACGCCGGGUUGGUGCUCUGGGCUCAGGAGAGGUGACGGGAAUGUUUCUUCAGCCAAGCCAAGGAAAAUUAAUGACCACCCCUCAGAAAUAUACGGUCUGUUAGGGCAAUGCCCUCAGCCCCGAUCAUCACGGAGGGGCGGGGAGGGGCGGAUGGGAUCAGAGAGCAUGAGGAAGAAUGGGGUCGUCUGUUGGCAAAUCCACAGGACUCAGUCAUUCUAUAGGAUUUUUCCCAAGUUCCCUCUAAAGCCAUCUAGGUGCAAAUGACAUCCAGGAAAUAAAACCACACGCACCACGUGUCCACCCUGCUUAAGUCAAAAGUGGUACAUAGUCCCUGAGGGUGGCGCAAUGACCCUGCACCGCCUGCAGACCCUCGUGUCCUAGCAACACCUGGGGGAUGAACCUCCAUCAAGGACUGGACCCCACCCCCCCAAUAACUCGGGCUCAAAUCUUAUGAUAAAAUAUACUCUUGUUUUACACUAAAGAUGAUAUCAGUACACCCUCCAUGUGACUGUCCCUUUGGCACACCUGCAUACGUGCGCGCACACACACAAAGCCUUUUUUUGGCCUACUAGUAGGUACAUUAUUUUCACAGCAGCCAGAGUGAUCCUGUUAAAAAACCAAAGUCACCCGUCAUGUCAGUUCUGUGCUCAAUACUCGCCCCCUCCCGGUGGCGCCCACUCACUCACAGCUACCCCUACUCCACAGUCCCUGUAAUGGUCUACAAUUGUGGUCCUUCAGGGCCAACCCCAUCUC